Non-coding RNA from Pelobates cultripes (western spadefoot toad), 335 nucleotides. Lineage: Eukaryota; Metazoa; Chordata; Amphibia; Anura; Pelobatidae. The record is from the annotation of a GenBank genome assembly.
AAAAAAAAAAAACUUUCCUGAAAUUCACUCUGUUCCAGGACAUCUAAUUAAAUAAUCUGAUUCCAAUGAGGAAAUUUACCUUGGGCUGUCACGUUCUGGGAGUAGGCUUUGUGACGAGACCAAUCUCGCCACAUUGCAUUGAAGAAGCCUGGUUGCCUGUUGCCUUUGGAUUAUGGCCCCAUGUUAAAAGGCUUGAUUUUCCCCUGCAAAGACAAGAAAGCCGGGUCAUUUGGUGCUUGCCCUGUUUGAGCAGUGAUACCCCAGAUAGCUAUGCCAUGGAGCUCAUUCGUAUAAUGAAAGACUAUGGGAAAGACUUUGGCUCCAUGGCAAUUGAA